RNAcentral lists this ribosomal RNA (422 nucleotides) under uncultured prokaryote. RNAcentral describes it as "bacterial SSU rRNA". It matches the Rfam family "Bacterial small subunit ribosomal RNA", at positions 355 to 774 of the family's 1533-position model. The record is from RNAcentral.
UGAGGAAUAUUGGUCAAUGGGCGAGAGCCUGAACCAGCCAAGUCGCGUGAAGGAAGAAGGAUCUAUGGUUCGUAAACUUCUUUUGCAGGGGAAUAAAGUGCAGGACGUGUCCUGUUUUGUAUGUACCCUGAGAAUAAGGAUCGGCUAACUCCGUGCCAGCAGCCGCGGUAAUACGGAGGAUCCGAGCGUUAUCCGGAUUUAUUGGGUUUAAAGGGUGCGUAGGUGGUUUAAUAAGUCAGCGGUGAAAGUUUGCAGCUUAACUGUAAAAAUGCCGUUGAAACUGUUAGACUUGAGUGUAAAUGAGGUAGGCGGAAUGCGUGGUGUAGCGGUGAAAUGCUUAGAUAUCACGCAGAACUCCGAUUGCGAAGGCAGCUUACCAAGCUACAACUGACACUGAAGCACGAAAGCGUGGGGAUCAAACA